Podarcis raffonei (Aeolian wall lizard) is the source of this 1964-nucleotide long non-coding RNA. RefSeq lists it as uncharacterized. Lineage: Eukaryota; Metazoa; Chordata; Lepidosauria; Squamata; Lacertidae. The transcript has 3 exons. The record is from RefSeq and is a predicted model, not a curated record.
GAGGCUAACUGUCACAUACCUCAAGGUGUUUCAUUUCUCUCAGCCAGUAUGUUACUAUGCUACAUUUCUCUAUUAAUGCUUUGUUACACACACACACACACACACACACGUGUGAGCUGUUUGCUUUACUGAAUGAAAAGAGAAACUAAAGAAGAAGAAGGUGGAAUAUCUUACACUGGCUUGAUAUGGAAGAAAAGAUGGCACAUUUGAAGAAAAUAUGUUGAGUGCACUUUCGCAGCAUAAUUGCCACCACUCCAAUUAUGUACAGUUAUAUGAGCCCAUAAUCUCUUUUGUAGUUGCUGGAUUUCUCAUUAGAAGCUCCUGCUGUUUCGUUUUCCACUUCAAGCAAAGAAGCCAUUUGGGAUGUGCUAAGCAACUGUCCAACUCUAUUGAGUCACCUACCCAGGUGAUGAACAUCAGGCCUGUGUUGAGCUGUACUCGUGGUUGCUUAUGAGAAAGAUGCCAGCACGCCUUGAGGCCAUCCUUUUCAUCCAGGAAAUGAGUCUCAGCAUAUUUGUUGAUUCAGGCAAGAGCUUUGAUGGGCUCAGCCCAUGACAACAUCAGAUGCACGAAGCAACUACCUUUGUAGGUAGAUGGUAGAAUUCCCAAGCUGACCCCGAAAUGGCCUGGAAGGAACGCAGCUGGUGCCAUGGUCCCUAUCACUCCAGGCUAUACACCACAGCGUGGGUGCUGCUCAUAUCCUCAGCUUGCUCUGGACACAGGACCAGUGCUCUUGCACCAUAUCCUACUACUACAGCAGACCCUUCUGACAGAGCUGAAAGCUGGGGGUGUCAACUUGGAACAAAAUAUUGGCCCAGGUAAGCCCUUCCUGCAUAAUUGAUCACAUGUUGAAGUGCACACACAUCAUUUUGAAUGGCAAUACCCAUUGACUUUGGGGCAGGGGUUAGCCCCCUCAAAUAUUUUAUUGGGAGGCGGGGGCUGAAAGCACCUUGGAUCUGCCUCCUCUACUUAAGGAGCUGGGGGGGGGGUCCCCAGAGCCCCUUCUUAUGGCAUUUCCCCUGAUUUGCUGGCCAUGUCAUUGGCAGCUCUCGAGGUGUCUCCCAUACAUAGAUCUCAAUCUUUCUGUACACUGCUAUUGCAGAUAUGGAUGCAGACGUGGCCCCCCUCACCCUGUUCUCCUCCACAGAGCACCGUCCAAGCAGCUGGGUGCAAACUUCCCCGAUUCUCUACCCCACCCCACCUCAAUAAACUCGCGAGCGGCCCCUCCCGCGCAGUCCAGGCAUGAUUUAACCAUAGCAACCCCUCCCCCUUGCAGGUGGAUGCAGGCAGAGCAUCUUCCAGCUGCCACAAAGGCUGCGUGGAGAACGGGCAGCUUCUCUCUCUGUAGCCACCAACCCGUGCAAGGGUGCCAACUUGAAUAAAAUAUUGGGGGGGGGGGGGAGGGAAGGAAGCCCCACCCCGCACAAUCAAUCACAAGACACAGGGAGCACCUACCAUUUGAACGGCAGUACCUAUCACACGGGGGGGGAGCUGGACCCCACAAAUAUUUUAUCGGGGGUUGGCUCCUAUGCACUCUGGGGAUUCCCUCUUCACGGAGCUUCGCAAGACUCAAGGACCUCACCAGUACUGGGAGAAAGAGAGAGAGAGAAAGGGAGGGAGGGAGGGAGAGAGGACCCCCUCCCAAGGCGCUGCUUGCCCGUCUGCAGCUCCCUCCCUCCCUCCCUCCCUCCAUCUGUCCGUCUCUUCCUCGGCAAGCUAAUUCCCUGCUAUUCUGGAAUCGCAAAGCCUCGCCUGCCUGCCUGCCUCUCCCCGGCGCGGAUCUCCGGGCGCAGCGCUCGGUGGCCGGGCUGCAAGAAACAAUGACGGGCGUCGUGCUCCGGGCAGCCCGGGGGAGCAGCGCAGCGCAGCCCAGCUCGGGCGCCUUUGUCUCUCCCUUUCCCCGGGCUCCACUCACCUCUGGCAGGCUGGUGCUGCAGGCUCGCUCGCCCGCCUCCUCCUCCUCC